Molecule: small nuclear RNA, 164 nt
Filed under: Gopherus agassizii (Agassiz's desert tortoise)
Lineage: Eukaryota; Metazoa; Chordata; Testudines; Testudinidae
Description: U1 spliceosomal RNA (ENSGAGG00000003490.1)
Rfam family: U1 spliceosomal RNA
About the family: U1 is a small nuclear RNA (snRNA) component of the spliceosome (involved in pre-mRNA splicing).
Source: Rfam by way of RNAcentral
AUACUUACCUGGCAGGAGAGAUACCAUGAUCACGAAGGUGGUUUUCUCAGGGUGAGGCUCAUCCAUUGCACUGCGGGUGUGCUGACUCCUGCAAUUUCCCCAAAUGCGGUAAACUCGACUGCAUAAUUUGUGGUACGGGGGGACUGCGUUCGCCCUCUCCCCUG